This 497-nucleotide ribosomal RNA is filed under the name uncultured bacterium. RNAcentral describes it as "partial 16S ribosomal RNA". It matches the Rfam family "Bacterial small subunit ribosomal RNA", at positions 28 to 507 of the family's 1533-position model. The record is from RNAcentral.
GAUGAACGCUGGCGGCGUGCCUAAUACAUGCAAGUCGAGCGAACGGACGAGGAGCUUGCUCCUCUGACGUUAGCGGCGGACGGGUGAGUAACACGUGGAUAACCUACCUAUAAGACUGGGAUAACUUCGGGAAACCGGAGCUAAUACCGGAUAAUAUAUUGAACCGCAUGGUUCAAUAGUGAAAGACGGUCUUGCUGUCACUUAUAGAUGGAUCCGCGCUGCAUUAGCUAGUUGGUAAGGUAACGGCUUACCAAGGCAACGAUGCGUAGCCGACCUGAGAGGGUGAUCGGCCACACUGGAACUGAGACACGGUCCAGACUCCUACGGGAGGCAGCAGUAGGGAAUCUUCCGCAAUGGGCGAAAGCCUGACGGAGCAACGCCGCGUGAGUGAUGAAGGUCUUCGGAUCGUAAAACUCUGUUAUUAGGGAAGAACAAAUGUGUAAGUAACUGUGCACGUCUUGACGGUACCUAAUCAGAAAGCCACGGCUAACUACGUG